UACGUAGGGAGCAAGCGUUGUCCGGAUUUAUUGGGCGUAAAGAGCUCGUAGGCGGCUUAGAAAGUCAGGUGUGAAACCUCCAGGCUCAACCUGGAGACGCCAAUUGAUACUUCUAUGGCUUGAGUUCGGAAGGGGAACACGGAAUUCCUGGUGUAGCGGUGAAAUGCGCAGAUAUCAGGAGGAACACCGAUGGCGAAGGCAGUGUUCUGGUCCGAAACUGACGCUGAGGAGCGAAAGCGUGGGGAGCGAACAGG
This 254-nucleotide ribosomal RNA is filed under the name uncultured bacterium. RNAcentral's name for it is "partial 16S ribosomal RNA". It matches the Rfam family "Bacterial small subunit ribosomal RNA", at positions 524 to 776 of the family's 1533-position model. The record is from RNAcentral.